GACGAACGCUGGCGGCGUGCUUAACACAUGCAAGUCGAACGGAAAGGCCCUGCUUUUGUGGGGUGCUCGAGUGGCGAACGGGUGAGUAACACGUGAGUAACCUGCCCUUGACUUUGGGAUAACUUCAGGAAACUGGGGCUAAUACCGGAUAGGAGCUCCUGCUGCAUGGUGGGGGUUGGAAAGUUUCGGCGGUUGGGGAUGGACUCGCGGCUUAUCAGCUUGUUGGUGGGGUAGUGGCUUACCAAGGCUUUGACGGGUAGCCGGCCUGAGAGGGUGACCGGCCACAUUGGGACUGAGAUACGGCCCAGACUCCUACGGGAGGCAGCAGUGGGGAAUAUUGCACAAUGGGCGGAAGCCUGAUGCAGCAACGCCGCGUGCGGGAUGACGGCCUUCGGGUUGUAAACCGCUUUCGCCUGUGACGAAGCGUGAGUGACGGUAACGGGUAAAGAAGCACCGGCUAACUACGUG
This 468-nucleotide ribosomal RNA is filed under the name uncultured bacterium. RNAcentral describes it as "partial 16S ribosomal RNA". It matches the Rfam family "Bacterial small subunit ribosomal RNA", at positions 28 to 507 of the family's 1533-position model. The record is from RNAcentral.